UUUUUUGGCACUGUAUUCUUUUUUUUUUAUUUUUAUUGUGCUUUAAGUGAAAGUUUACCAAUCAAGUCGAACUCUCAUACAAAAAUUUAUAAACACCUUGCUAUACACUCCUAAUUGCUCUCCCCCUAAUAGGACAGCACACUCCUUCCCUUCACUCUCUUUUCGUGUCCAUUUAGCCAGCUUCUGACCCCCUUUACCCUCUCAUUUCCACUUCAUACAGGAGAUGCCAACAUAAUCUCAUGAGUCUACUGGAUCCAAGAAGCUCAUUCUUUACCAGUAUCACUGUCUAUCCCAUAGUCCAGUCCAGUCCAGUCCCUGUCCGAAGAGUUGGCUUUGGGAAUGGUUCCUGUUUUGGGCUAACAGAAGGUCUGGGGACCAUGACCUCCGGGGUCAUUCUAGUCUCAGACCAUUAAGUCUGGUCUUUUUACAAGAAUUUGGGGUCUGCAUCCCACUGCUCUCCUGCUCCCUCAGGGGUUCUUUGCAGUGUUCCCUGUCAGGACAGUCAUCGGUUGUGCCCGGGCACCAUUCUAGUUCUUCUGAUCUCAAGCUAAUGUAGGCUCUGCUUUAUGUGGCCUUUUCUCCCUCUUGGGGUCAUAAUUACUUUGUGUCCUUGGAGUUCUUGAUUCUCCUUUGCUCCAGGUGGGUUGAGACCAAUUGAUGCAUCUUAGAUGGCCACUUGCUGGCGUUUAAGACCCCUGUCACUGCAUUCUUUUUUUUUUUUUAAUUGUGCACUAAGUGAAAACUUACAAAUCAAGUCAGUCUCUCACACAAAAACGCAUGUACACCUUGCUACAUACUCCCAGUUACUCUCCCCCUAAUGAGACAGUCCUCUUUGUCCCUCCACUCUCUCUUUUCAUGUCCAUUUCACCAGCUUCUAGCCCCCUCCACCCUCUCAUCACCCCUCCAGGCAGGAGAUGCCAGCAUAGUCUCAAGUGUCUGCCUGAUCUAAGAAGUUCACUCCUCACCAGCAUCCCUCCAACCCAUUGUCCAGUCCAAUCCAUGUCUGAAGAGUUGGCUUCGGGAAUGGUUCCUGUCCUGGGCCAACAGAGGGUCUGGGGGCCAUGACCACUGAGGUCCUUCUAGUCUCAGUCAGACCAUUAAGUCUAGUCUUUUUAUGAGAAUUUGGGGUCUGUAUCCCACUGCUCUCCUGCUCCCUCAGGGGUUCUCUGUUGUGUUCCCUGUCAGGGCAGCCAUUGGUUGUAGCUGGACACCAUCUAGUUCUUCUGGUCUCAGGAUGAUGUAGUCUCUGGUUCAUGUGGCCCUUUCUGUCUCUUGGGCUCGUAAUUACCUUGUGUCCUUGGUGCUCUUCAUUCUGCUUUGAUCCAGGCAGGUUGAGACCAGUUGAUGCAUGUUAGAUGGCUGCUUGCUAGCAUUUAAGACCCCAGAAAUCACUCUUCAAAGUGGGAUGCAGAAAGUUUUCUUAAUAGAUUAUGCCAAUUGACUGAGAUGUCCCCUGAAACCAUGGUCCCCAAACCCCUGCCUCUGCUAUACUCUGGCCUUUGAAGCAUUCAGUUUAUUCAGGAAACUUCUUUGCUUUUGGUUUAGUCCAGUUGUGCUGACCUCCCCUGUAUUGUGUGCUGUCUUUCCCUUCACCUAAAGUAGUUCUUAUCUACUGUCUAAUUAGUGAAUACCCCUCUCCUACCCUCUUUCCCUCCCCCCUCUUGUAACCACAAAAGAAUGUUUCCUUCUGUUUAAACUAUUUCUCAAGUUCUUGUAGUAGUGGUCUUGUACAAUAUUUGUCCUUCUGCAGCUGACUAAUUUCACUCAGCAUAAUGUCUUCCAGGUUCCUCCAUAUUAUAAAAUGUUUCACAGAUUCCUCACUUUUCUUUAUAGAUGUGUAGUAUUCCAUUGUGUGAAUAUACCAUAAUUUAUUUAUCCAUUCAUCCGUUGGUGGGCACCUUGGUUGCUUCAAUCUUUUUGGUAUUGUAAACAGUACUGCAGUAAACAUGGGUGUGCAUAUAUGUGUUCUUGUAAAGGCUCUUAUUUCUUUAGGAUAUAUUCCAAGGAGUGGGAUUGCUGGAUUGUAUGGUAGUUCUAUUUCUAGCUUUUUAAGGAAGUGCCAAAUUGAUUUCCAAAGUGGUUGUACCAUUUGACAUUCCCACCAGCAGUGUGUAAGUGUUCCAGUCUCUCCACAGCCUCUCCAACAUUUAUUAUUUUGUGUUUUUUGGAUUAAUGCGAGGCUUGUUGGAGUGAGAUGAAAUCUCAUUGUAGCUUUGAUCUGCAUUUCUCUAAUGGCUAAUGAUCGAGAACAUUUCCUCAUGCAUCUGUUAGCUACCUGAAUGUCUUCUUUAGUGAAGUGUCUGUUCAUAUCUUUUGCCCAUUUUUUAAUUGGAUUAUUUAUUUUUUUGCAGUUGAGUUUUUGCAGUAUCAUGUAGAUUUUAGAGAUCAGGCACUGGUCAGAAAUGUCAUAGCUAAAAACUUUUUCCCAGUCUGUAGGUAAGUCAUCUUACUCUUUUGGUGAAGUCUUUGGAUGAGCAUAGUAUUUGAUUUUUAGGAGCUCCCAGUUACCUAGUUUUUUUUUCUGCAUUCUUAAUAAUGUUUUGUGUACUGUUUAUGCCAUGCAUUAGGGCUCCUAACGUUGUCCCUAUUUUUUCUUUCAAGAUCUUUAUCGUUUUAGAUUUUAUAUUUAGGUCUUUGAUCCAUUUUGAGCUCGUUUUUGUGCAUGGAGUGAGGUAUGGGUCUUGUUUCAUUUUUUUGCAGAUAGAUAUCCAGUUAUGCCAGCACCGUUUGUUAAAAAGACUGUCUUUUCCCCCAUUUAACUGUUUUGGGGCCUUUGUCAAAUAUCAACUGGUCAUAUGUGGUUGGAUUUAUGUCUGGAUUCUCAAUUCUGUUCCAUUGGUCUGUGUGUCUGUUGUUGUACCAGUACCAGGCUGUUUUGACUACUGUGGUGGUAUAGUAGGUGCUAAAAUCAGUGAAAGUAAGGCCUCCCACUUUUUUCUUCUGUUUCAGUAAUGCCUUAUAUAUCUGGGGCCUCUUUCCCUUCGAUAUGAAGUUGGUGAUUUGUUUCUCCAUCUCAUUAAAGAAUGUGGUUGGGAUUUGGAUUAGAAUUGCAUUAAAUGUAUAGAUUGUUUUUGGUAGAACAGACAUUUUAAUAAUGUUAAGUUUUCCUAUCCAUGAGCAAAGUAUGUUUUUCCACUUAUGUAAGUCUCUUUUGGUUUCUUGUGGAAGUGUACUGUAGUUUUCUUUGUAUAAGUCUUUUACAUCUCUGGUAAGAUUUAUUCCUAAGUAUUUUAUCAUCUUGGGGGCUAUUGUAAAUGGUAUUGAUUUGGUGAUUUCCUCUUUGAUGUUCUUUUUGUUGGUGUAGAGGAAUCCAACUGAUUUUUGUAUGUUUAUCUUGUGUCCGGAUACUCUGCUGAACUCUUCUAUUAGUCAGUAGUUUUCUGGAAGAUUCCUUAGGGUUUUCUGUGUAUAAGAUCAUGUCAUCUGUAAAUAGAGAUACAUUUACUCCUUCCUUGCCAAUCCGGAUGCCCUUUAUUUUUUUAUCUAGCCUAAUUGCUCUGGAUAGGACCUCCAACACAAUGUUGAAUAAGGGCAUCUUUGUCUGGUUCCCGGUCUCAUUGGGAAUGCUUUCAGGUUCUCUCCAUUUAGGGUGAUGCUGGCUGUUGGCUUUGUAUGAAUGCCCUUUAUUGUGUUAAGGAAUUUUCCUUCUAUUUCUAUUUUGCUGAGAGUUUUUAUCAUGAAUGGGUGUUGAACUUUGUCAAAUGCCUUUUCUACAUCAAUUGAUAAAAUCAUGUGAUUCUUUUAUUUAUGUGGUGGAUUAUGUUAAUUGUUUUUCUAAUGUUGAACCAUCCCUGCAUACCUGGUAUGAAUCCCACUUGGUCAUGGUGAAUUAUUUUUUUGAUAAUGUUGUUGAAUCCUGUUGGCUAGAAUUUUGUUGAGGAAUUUUGCAUCUACGUUCAUGAGGGAUAUAGGUCUAUAAUUUUCUUUUCUUGUGGUGUCUUUACCUGGUUUUGGUAUCAGGGAUAUGGUGGCUUCAUAGAAUGAGUUUUUUGGUAGUAUUUGGUCCUGUUCUAUGCUCUGAAAUACCUUUAGUAGUAGUGGUGUUAACUCUUCUCUGAAAGUUUGGUAGAACUCUGCAGUGAAGCCUUCCCGACCAGGGCUUUUAUUUGUUGGGAGUUUUUUGAUUACCUCUUCAAUCUCUUUUUUUGUUAUGGGUCUAUUUAGUUGUUCUACCUCUGUUUGUGUUAGUUUAGGUAGGUAGUGUGUUUCUAGGAAUUCAUCCAUUUCUUCUAGGUUUUCAAAUUUGUUAGAGUACAAUUUUUCAUAGUAAUCUGAUACGAUUCUUUUAAUGUCAGUUGGGUCUGUUGUAGUAUCGCCCCUCUCAUUUCUUAUUCGGGUUAUUUGCUUCCUCUCCUGUUUUUCUUUUGUCAGUUUGGCCAGUGAUUUAUCAAUUUUGUUGAUUUUUUUUUUUUUAAAAAAGCAGCUUUUGGUCUUGUUAAUUCUUUCAGUUGUUUUUCUGUUUUCUGUUUCAUUUAAUUUAGCUCUAAUUUUUAUUGUUUGUUUUCUUCUGGUGCCUGUGGGUGUCAUUUGUUGUUCUCUUUCUGUUUGUUCAAGUUGUAGGGAUAAUUCUUUGAUUUUGGCCCUUCUUUUUGUAUGUGUGCAUUGAUUGAUAUAAAUUGGCCUCUGAGCACCGCUUUUGCUGUGUCCCAAAGGUUCUCAUAGGAAGUGUUUUCAUUCUCAUUGGAUUUUCUGAAUUUCUUUAUUCCAUCCUUAAUGUCUUCUAUAAUCCAGUCUUUUUUGAGGAGGGUAUUGUUCAGUUUCCAGCUGUUUGAUUUCUUUUCCCGUUAUUGAUUUCCACUUUACGGUUUUAUGGUUAGAGAAGAUGCUUUGUAAUAUUUCAGCGUUGUGGAUUCUGUUAAGGUUUGCUUUAUGACCUAAUUAUGUGGUCUAUUCUAGCGAAUGUUCCUUGUGCACUAGAAAAGAAAGUAUUCUUGGUUGCUGUUGGGUGGAGUGUUAUGUAUGUGUCUACGAGGUCAAGUUGGUUGAUUGUGGCAUUUAGAUCUUCUGUGUCUUUAUUGAACUUCUUUCUGGAUGUCUUGUCCUUCACUGAAAGUGGUGUGUUGAAGUCUCCUACUAUUAUCGUGGAGCUGUCUAUCUCACUUUUCAAUGCUGAUAGAGUUUGUUUUAUGUGUCUUGCAGUCCUGUCAUUGGGUGCAUACAUAUUUAAUAUGGCUAUAUCUUCUUGGUGUAUUGUCCCUUUAAUCAAUAGAUAGUGUCCUUCCAUAUCCUUUCUGAUGGAUUUAACUUUAAAGUCUAUUUUGUCAGAAAUUAAUAUUGCCACUCCUGCGCUUUUUUGAUUGUUGUUUGCUUUAUAUAUUUUUUUCCAUCCUUUGAGUUUUAGUUUGUAUCUCUGAGUCUAAGGUGUGUCUCUUGUAGGCAGCAUAUAGACGGGUCUUGUUUUUUAAUCCAUUCUGCCACUCUCUGUCUCUUUAUUGGUGCAUUUAGUCCAUUUACAUUCAGGGUAAUUAUGGAUAGGUAUGAAUUUAGUGCUGUCAUUUUGAUGUCUUUUUUUGUGUGUUGUUGACAGUUUCAUUUCCCAGUUAAUUUUAUGUGCUGAGUUGAUCAUGUAUUGUCCUUUCCUCAUAUUUGUUGUUGUUGAUUUUGUUUUUACCGAGUCUCUAUUUUUUUCUUGUGUUUUAUUUUGAUGAGUAGGAUGGUUUGUCUCCUUUGUGGUUACCUUGUUAUUUACCCCUAUUUUUCUAAAUUUAAACCUAGCUUUUAUUUCUUUGUAUUGCUGUAUCUUCCUCUCCAUAUGGAAGGUGUAUGAUUAUAUUUCAUAGUCCCUCUUUAUUAUUUUAAUGUUGUCUUCUUUUAUAUAGUAAUAUCACUGUUACCUGUUUUGAGCUUUUUAUUAUUAUUAUUCUUGCUCUGUUUUUUUGGAUUUCCCUGUCUGGGGUGACUUCUAAUUUCUCCACCCAGUGUUCUAGUCUUGGGUUGAUACCUGGUAUUAUUGAUUUUCUAACCAAAGAACUCCCUUUAGUAUUUCUUGUAGUUUUGGUUUGGUUUUACGAAUUCCCUCAACUUGUAUUUAUCUGGGAAUGUCUUUAUUUCACUUUCAUAUUUAAGAUAAAGUUUUGGUGGAUAUAUGAUUCUUGGCAGGCAAUUUUUUUCCUUCAGUUUUUUAGAUAUGUCAUCCCAUUGCCUUCUUGCCUGCAUGGUUUCUGCUGAGUAGUCCGAGCUUAUUCUUAUCGGCUCUCCUUUGUAGGUGACUUUUCGUUUAUCUCUUGCUGCUCUUAUAAUUCUCUCUUUAUCUUUGGUUUUGGCAGGUUUGAUUAUAAUAUGUUUUGGUGACUUUCUUUUCAGAUCUACUUUAUGUGGAGUCGAUGAGCAUCUCGGAUAGAUAUCUUCUCAACUUUCACGAUAUUAAGGAAGUUUUCUGCCAAUAAAUCUUCAACAAUUUUCUCUUAUCCCUCCCUGUUCUGGUACUCCAGUCACUCAUAGGUUAUUAAAAAAAACAUUUACUUAAUGCCAACUUUGGUACCUAAAAUCUUAGACCUCACCGAAAUGAAGUUUUAAGAAUGAAAACGUUGACUGGUUAUAGUGAUUUCUGUCCAGGCCCAGUACUUGCCUAAGCUUCAUCAAGUUUCUUGAUAUACUCAUGGCUGAUAAGCUAGUCAAUCAUUUUGCUUUGUCAGAACUUUACUUCAGCUUGGACACAAUCAGUAUCUUUGGUUACAUUCUUCACAUUGUGUCAACAUCCCCAUUAAUUCUGUUCUAGUUGUUUCACUCUGAUUGACUUAAACUCCCUGCCCUCACCCCGCCAAACUUCUUGCCUGUGCUUUAAAAUAGCUCUUGUCCAUGUGAUUUUAUAUUUAAAAAAAAAAAAUUCAAGAGUGACAAUCUUUGCUUUUUGAGCUAAACUGCUACUUAGUUUAAAGGUGACUUAAGGGAAUAGUUUUGAUUGAAGGUUUGAAGAAUAACUUAGGGCAGUAGUCUUGGGACUCCUCCAGCCUCAGUAGGUCCAGAAAGUCUGGAUUCUUUAAGAAUUUGAAGCUCUGUUCUACAUUUUUCUCCCUUUCUAUAUGGAUCCAUCUGUUGUGUCCCUGAUCAGAACAUUCAGUAGUGGUAGCUGGGCAGCAUCUAGUUCUUCUUGCCUCAAGGUAGAGGAGGUAGUGGUUUAUGAAUACAGUUUGUCCUAUAGUCCAGUUCCUUCUCUGAUUCUUAGGUUUCCUUCUUUCUCUUUUGUUCCAGACAAAUAGAGACCACUAGUUUAUACUGCAGAUGGCUUCUUACAAGCUUUUAAGAUCCCAGCCACUGCUCACCAUACUAGAAGGUAGCACAUAAAUUUCAAGAUCUAUGUUAUGCCCAUUGACUGGAUUGUCCCAUAAGAUCAUGACCCUAAUCUAAGAGGCAAACAUUUAGUGAACAUCUGUUUUGUACCAGACACUAUCAGAUGUUCAAAUGCAUAGCAAAAUUUAAUUUACAAGUACCUUCUGAAAUAUGUAUCUCUCUCUUUUAAAAAUAAGGAUACUGAGGCAUACCGAACUUAAGUAGCUCAAGGUUGUGCAGUUGGUGAGUGAUGAAAUUUAGAUUUAGACUCAGGCGUCUAAUUUUAGAGCCUCUCAUAACCUGUACUUUAUAGCUUGUGUCCUUUGUUCAGUUGCCUUUUCACAUCUUUCCCCUUUACUGUAGCGGUUUCAGAAUUCUUUCAAAACUUCCAUUAGAAUUUGAAGCUAUGCAUUUUGAUGGGAGUGUAGCUUAUCACUAUUAUUUCUGUAAUAUCUGAGACCUUCAUGCUGCUUACCUAAACCUGACCUCACGUACCUGUCCGGCCUUCCUUUUGUUGUGGCCCAACACAGUGUGACCUUCUAAGCUGUGUAUAAAAAUGAUGUGUCAAAGGUCCUCUAACUUCAUGAGGGGAGAAGAUAAUCAACAUAAGCUCAAAGCUGAUUCCUAUGAGGUGGAAGUCAGACAUCCUACACUCUCCAAACAUUUUACCAAUCCUGAUGCUAUCCGUCCCUCUCACUGCACUCUCUGCUUCGCUCUGGGUUCAGUAAUUUGUUUCAAUAGCCAUGCAGAACUCACGGACCAUACUCAGGAUUAUGGGGGUCUAUUAGGGAAGUAACAGGCUGUAACUCAGGUUCAGGAUCAACUUGGAAGUAACAGGAACUACUCAGGAUACAGUUCUUUGAUCAGGACAGCUUCUUGGCCAUACUCACAGGCAGACUUAGCUCUGGUCCUUGGCCCUGCUCAGGCAAGUGUUACAAAGAUCUUUUCUCCACCGAUAAGUGCUUGGAGGCACGUCACCCCACCAGGAAGCCUUCUGCCUGAAGGUGCUCAGUCAACCCACUGUAGCUGCCUGGCUCUGUGGGCCAGGAAGCCCAUCAUGUUGUCUAGCGCUGGUCUGGCUCUGUUGCUUCUCAAGCCAUCACCAGUGUUACAUCUGUCUCUGUCUUCUGGGUCUGGGAGGUUCUCACUGCAGGGACCCCAGCCCCAAAGGACUUGCUCCAUUUCUGGCUCCUCUUCUUCCUGGUAGUGAGGUCCCUCCUUACUCUGGGAUUGGCUUCCUUUAAGCCUAGUGGGAUGGCUUAACUGUCCAGUCCCCUUGGUGGGCUGUAAGCACUUAUUUGUGUAGUCUUACCCAGUCAUUUUGUGGGAAUUAUUUUUUAUAAUGACCAUGGUUAGAGCUAAGGGUCAUAUAAUAGCAGUUCACUGCACUGUACUGUGUCGCUUAGUUGGGGAAGGGGUUGGUUGUGGGUUGCGAUUUAAGAAAAGCUUUGUUAUAUAUUUACCAGAAGGGUCAGUAAGAUAGAUGACUGAUGUACCCUUAACUUUUCUAAUUUUGUGACCUCAAAGGGUAAAAACUUUCAGUAAUUGUAAUUUUGCAGUGACAUAAAUUUGAACCAUACGGGCAGUGAGACUGAUGUGUAUAUUUUAGCUGGAGCCUAGCUAUCUCCUUAGUAUUUGCAUCUUAGAUUUGUUAUUCACUGUCAACCAAAAAUCUUACACUCAUAACGACCUUGGGAGGUAGAUGGUGAUACUCCCAUUUUACAGAUGAUGGAACUGGCGGAAAUACAUACUGUAGAGGUAUUUGAAAUUUAAGGGAUAUGAUAGAUCUCUUCAUACGAGUGCAUUUAUAAGUUUUGCACUGUUGUAUAUCUGAAGGAGCCCUGAUGGUGCAGUGGUUAAUUGAUUGGCUGCCAACUGAAAUCUGCCAGCUACUCUGCAGGAGAAAGGUGUGGUGGUCUGCUUGCUAAAGAUUACAGCCUUGGAAACCCUACAGGGCGGUUUACUGUGUCCUGUAUGGUCGCUUGAUUCGGAAUGGACUCGAUGGCAAUGGAUUUUUUUUUUUUUUUUUGGUUUAUCUCUGGGAGUAAGGCUGAGGUAGCUUUUUGGCAGUAUACUAAUAGAUACAUAGAGCAUUUAUAUUCAGAAUUGCUAAAGUGAAUUUAAUAUUUUUGGAGACUGUUUUAUUCCCAUCUUCUUUUAGGGACGUUGUUGUCUGCAGUUAUUCUUAGGAGGCUUUUUGAGAUUGUGGCCAAAAAUAGAGUGGUUCUUUGAGUGCUUGGAGACUGGUUCACUUUUUCUAAGACCUUUGCACACAAGAGUGUUUCUGUAAGAAGCGAUGUGGGUAGAUGUGGCCUAGUUUCCCCCUCUCCCCACCCCCCCCCCCCAGUCAGUACUGGUGGUGAAUUCGAGGUUUUCCUGUUCACAGGGCCCUUGCAAGCCAACUUGUCCUCUUCCCACAGAGAUACUGAUGUCUCUCUUAUCUUGCUCCAGCUGUUCAUAUUAGAAAGUGCAUGGAGGGGAUGUUUUGUUACCUUGUCACCUAGCUUUCUUGUAAAUAUUUUCUAUGGCCUUUGGUUUUGCUAUCCUAGUUGCUGUAAACAAACAAACAAAAACAAAAAAACCAAACCCAUUGCCGCUGAGUUAAUUCCAACUCGUAGCGACCCUGUAGGACAGGGUAGAAUUGCGUCACAGGUUUUUUUUGUUAGCAGCCGUAGCACUUAACCACUACACUACCAAGUUUUCCUAGUUGCUGUAGAAUGUAGUUUUUUUUUUUUUUUUUUGUCAUAGUUUUAAGGUUCUUAAAUAUGGAGAAUAUCAUAUACAUGCCUUUUCUUUUUCUCCAUUUUAGUUAAGGAGUUCUUCGGGGACAAUAACUGCAUUUUGAGUGUAAUGGAUCACAUAGUUUAAAUAUUGUGCUCAUAACAUGAAAAAGUUCCUAUGUACAGAGAUUACUGAAAUUAAUACUACUUUAGAAAAUUCUGCCUCUUUUUUAUGGAUGAGUUUUUUAUUAUGAAAGUGCUCUUGGCGGGGAGAAACUGCUAUUCUACCUGCUUGUAUAUUCUUACAAAAUUUUUCUACACAUAUAAAAGUGUAUAUAUGUUAAUCCUUUUUUUUAAAGUACACGUUGUAUCAAACUUCUGCAGUUUGCCUUUUUGAUCUAUUUGCCAUCUUUGUUUUUAUGGGCUGCAUGUUGAGUGUAGCACAAGGUACUGUAAGAAGGUACCAUAAGGUAUACCUACCUUCUUGGUUGGUCAUUUAGGCUGUUGACAGUUAAAAACAAUUAGGAACAAUGCUUAAGUGAUGUAUUUGCUCUGGCACAGACAGGACAAUGGGAAUUAAGGAGUGAAGAUACGUAUAUUGUUAUUUUUGACAGAGAUUGCCAGCUGGCCUGCCAAAAAAGCCUUUUCAGUUUACGUUUCUGCUGACAGUGUAUGAUACCUAUCGCUAAUCCAUGUAAGCACUGAACAUUAUUAGACUUUUAAAUCUGAAAUUCUCAUGGGUGCAAAUGGCAUCUCAUUUUAGUUUGCUUUCUUUAAUUUUGUGCUGGCAUCUUAUCAUUUGUUAAUUGCCGUUUGUAGUUUUCUGUCCUUUACUCAUCAACCUAUGAGUUGUUCCUUUUUUGAAAUUUUUUUUUUUUUCACUAUUUUUUUAUUGAUGGAAACCCUGGUGGCAUAGUGGUUAAGUGCUACGGCUGCUAACCAAAGGGUCGGCAGUUUGAAUCCACCAGCCGCUCCUUGGAAACUCUAUAGGGCAGCUCUACUCUGUCCUAUAGGGUCACUAUAAGUCGGAAUCGACUCGACGGCACUGGGUUUGGUUUGGUUUUUAUUGAUAAAAACAAAAAAAUAGCCUGAUAAUGUUACUUUUUAAUAAAUUAUACUUUUGCUAGGAAUAAUCUGAGUUUAAGACAGUCUUAUAUUGCAAGUUGUUUAAAAAGGAUGGACAUGAUCACAUAGCAAAGGAUAGUCUUCCCAAUGCUUGGUAGAUUGAAAUGUUAUUUUGGCAUAUAUUCAUCUUUUCAAUUAUAUUCCAAAGACAAAUAGUUGUAUAUACUAGCUCUGUAGCCUUCACUCCAAAUUAUGAGUAACAUAUUUAAAUUUGUUUGUGUUUAUGACAGGACUUGAAAUUCUGUCCUUGUAGAAAAAAUUUUUAAAAAUACAUGACCUCACCCAAAGAAACGCAAACCCAUUGCUGUUGAGUUGAUUCUGGUUCAUUGUGACCCUAUAGGACCGUGUGGAACUGCCUCAUGGGGUUUUCAAGGCUGUUUAAUCUUUAAGGAAGCAGGCUGUCACAUCUUUCUCCCGUGGAGCAGAUGGUGGGUUUGAACCGCAGACAUUUUGGUUAGCAGUUGAGUGUUUGAAACCACCGCGCCACCAGGGCUCCUUUUUUAAAUAAAAAAAAUCCUUUUUUAAAUAAGUCCUGGCCUAUUUGGCAAUAAGCUAAAGCAAGCCAGUUAAGAUGUGAACAAAGAAUCUGUAUUCUGCUCUUAGGUUGACUGAAAACUGGGACCUCUCUGAGAUCUCAGAAAUGUCAUAAAGUCCUCUUAAGCUUGAAGGAAUGAAAAUACUACACACAGAAAAAUGGCAUAUCUUAAGAUUGCUCUCUACUAUCUUAAAAUUAGUUGUGGAUAAAUUUUUUAUUUAAGUGUAAAUAAAAUAUUUAAUUUGACCUAUGAAGUCUACUUAAGUUAAUAAGACUUAGCAGCAAAUUCGAAGAUAAUUGCCAGAUUUGUUGGCAGUUAAUUGAAGAUGUUUGAGAUGUAAGAUUUUUCUGGAAAAUUCACAUAAUUCUGUAAUAUUCUUUAUCACUUUUCUAUUCAGUACUUAGAUGAGUAUCCUUUUCAAUACCCAAAGAUGCAGUGAUUCUCAACUAGGGGUGACAAAGCCUGGAGUCAUUUUUGGUUGUUAAAAUUGGGGAAUGCUACUGGCAUCUAGUGAGUAGAGAUCAGGGAUGCUUUUAAACAUCCUGUAAUGUACAGGACAACUAUUAUCUGGUCCAAGAUGCCAGUAUUGCUGAGGUUGAGCAAUCCUUUUUUUAAUAGGAAAAAGCAUACUUAGGUUUUAGAAAGUAUCUUAUACUUCAUUUGUUCUGUGACUUUUGAAAUAAAAAAAUAGCAAGUGUAAUAAAGUCAUUCAGGUCUUUAAUAGGGUCUGUAGUUUUACUUUUCAAAAUUCUACUUGAGAAAUUUAGAAAAGUCUAAUUCGAGAAAUAAAUACUAGUUGAAAAUUCAUAGCCCAUUAAUUGUAAAUGCCAUCUUUCCUGCUUUUCAGUAAAGAGAAAAGUCCCAGAUGUUUUGCCUUUUAUCUAAUCAAAUAUGAUCUCUGUUAGCUGCCUUCACUGUACCAGUCCUGUGUGUGUGUGUGUGUGUGUGUGUGUGUGUAUAUAUGUAUAUGGGAAAGAGAACCUUUGAUUCCUCACUUUGUUGAUGGAUUAGUUGUGUUUUCAUUAGCGACUCCACAUACACCUAACAUAAUUUCCUGUCAGUUCUGCCCACCAGAAAGCUGGCAGUUAUGUGUAUCUCACAGACCAAGUCACAGACCACCACACAACUGGCUAAUAUGCUAAUGGGCCAUUAGUGGCAGUAACACUGACCACUUCUCUCACCUCCAGUCAGGACCCAAAGGAGCUAGCUACUCUGGCCGCUGGCAAUACCCCUGCUUGCUGUCCUUGAAAGGGGAAGGGUUGGAUACAUUGUGUCUGGAAAGGACAAGAAAGAGAUUGGUUGGUUCUGUCAUCUUUCAGAUGUAACUGCACAUUAAAGUGAGGACUCUUCAUCAUACAUACAUCUCACACAACAUGACAAGACCAUGGUAAAAGUUAGAAAUACAACUAUUAAUAUACCAGUAUAUUUUAAUGCAGCUAUUAAUAACACUUUGUUAAAUCUGGUACAGGCAGUAAGCUGUAUGGGUGUAGACCAAAACAUUCCUGGGCAGACUAUGAAUGACCAUUCUAAUUGUUCCCUUUGAAGUCUCUUUGUACAGCAUUAGGAGUUAAUACCAUUCAUUCCUUCUUAAACUUUUCUCCUAUUGGUGAAACAAAUACUGUCUUAUUUAACAUGCUUUCGUGAUCUGGGGGCUUUUUAACUUUCCAGACUUGUCUCCUGUUACUGCCCCUAACUUUCCCAAAUUACUUGCAGUCCACUGAACUAGUACUCUAUUUUGCUGGUGUUACAUCCUAAUAGCAUCUUGCCAUGCAUUGCCUCAGAAGUUCUUCCUCAUGGGAUAACUACAGCUUGUCUUUUAGGACUGCCCAGACAACGCCAUUCAUAAUACAUACUAACCUAAUAAAACCCUUUUUUUCCAUAGAAAAUGCCGUUUUUCUGAUAUGCAUUGGUCGUGUGUUCUGCCAUAGCUUUUUGCAUACUUUGCCUCUUGUACUUUGAACAUGUAUGUCAUCAGGAGGGACCAGCCCCUGGAGAAGGACAUCAUUGGUAAAGUAGAGGGUCAGCAAAAGAGAGGACGACCUUCGGUGAGAUGGACUGAUGCAGAGGCUGCAACAGUGGGCUCAAACGUAACAGUGAUUGUGAGGAUGGCGAGGAUGGUGCAGGACCGGGCAGUGUUUCAUUCUAUCACUGAGUCAGAACCAACUUGACGGCACCUAAGAACAACAUAGAUCCUAAAGACCACAGUGCUCAAGGCAGACAUUCUUUACUAGUUAAGCUAAACUCUUGAUUGGUUUUAAGAAAGCAUCAGAGGAUAUUUUUGGUUUAAGGUUUAAAGAUUAUCUCAGGGCAGGAGUUUUGGGGGAUCAUCCAGCUACCCUGACUCCAGAAAGUCUGGAUUCCAUGAGAAUUUGAAAUUCUGUUCUGCAAAGAAUUUUUUUUUUUUAACUUUAUUAGUUGGUAUCAGAAUCCUUAGCUUGUUUGCUGCGUGUAAAUAUUCCGAGUGAGGUAUGUUUGCUUUCUCUUUUCCCUUUCAGUUUCUGUAUUUACAGAUUUCUGUCUAUCCUUUAAGUGUCAACUUAGUUCUUAUCUAAGCCUUCGCAGAUUUUCAAAGAAAAUAGUAUCUCUCUAAAUUCAUUUUAUCAUUUUUUAUUCUGUGUUACGGAUAUCUUAAUGUAAAUAUUAUUUCUUUUUGAUCAUUAUAUCCAUAUGUGUCUUGUAUCAGUGUUCCUUGAAAACCAUAGAGUAACUAAAGAUUUGUGCAAUGAGUUCAUCUCUCUUUGUAUUUACUAAGUAAAUUCAGAUGUGGAUUACUUUAUGUAGAUGUAUUCUUGAAAACUUAUAUGUUGAGUUUUGUGAAGGAAACAUUUUAAGUGUACUUAUUCUUGGACCCCUGUCUCCGGUGACUAGGUGGCGUGAGUGGAACCACCAGUCCUGAGGCUCCGAUGAUGUGGGUAGGUGAGGACCCUGCUUCAUAGGCAGAGUGGUGUCAAAUAUCAUGAACCUACCACUCCACCAUAUAACUGAUACGGUUGAGGUUAGACUUCAGGUAUAUACCCUGUUGUACUGCGCUAAUGAGGGCCUACGCCGUUGUGAUGGGCCCACACUUGCCUAUUUAAGGGUGAAAGGUAUUCAAAGUCCCUGGACCUCUUACGCCUGUGCCCAGGCAAAGGAGCUGUUUCUGCCCUGAGUUGUCAGCUUCGGGGCGCCGGCGGGCUAUUUUUUCCUGUUUGUUAAUUUAUUCCCUCUCCAAGGCUUGGAGAAUAGCUCACGGUGCAUGACGGGUCCUACUUUCGGCCCAGGGGUUGCAGCAGUCUUUGAAGCCAGUUCUGACCCAGUGCAGAGCGGGAAGGGGGCAGGUAAAUAGGAGAGAGGUUUUUCCCCAAAGGGGUAUUCUUUGAUCCACGUGGUAGGUUAGGCACAAGUACUUAUCUUUUGCCGAUUGAGUGCCACUUUUCAUUGAUUCUGGAGGUGUGAGUGGGCUCUCCGUGCUCUGUCUGUCCCGAUGUGGAAAACGUGUCCUGAAUGCCACUGCUUGCCUCACUGUGCUCGCACCAGGGGAUGUGGCUUGUGGGGUGCGGGUUCCCAUCAGGUCAGGUCUGUCAGCUUCUCACUGCUUCUGAACUGUCUCUCCUUCCCUCUACCGUUCAGUCCGAUUCCUCAGCUUUGCCUUUGAUGUUCAGGGCUCCUGGAUUGUCAUAUGUAAUCGAUUCACUUGUUUUUUCGCGUCUUUGUUGUAAGAGGGACCACAGGAAGCAUCUGACUACUCUGCCAUCUUGGCUCUGCCUCCUCUAUUUAAUAUUAUUUUGUUUAAUAUGUCGCCCACUGCUUUUAUCAGCAUUUGCCUGUGCCAAGUGUGUUAAGUUCAGUUUAAAAAUUAGGACUGAGGAAACUUUUAUAACUCUACAGUCUCCAGGUUCCCGACAUCUGACCUGGGGACAGCUUGGCGCGUGCCCUUGAAUGUUAUGUAGAUUUGCCCUCACUUUGAACUGAUUGCACCAGCUCUGCUUGAAGCAAAGUCAUCAUCACGAUCACCUUCACUUGCUGCACGUGCGGCUUUUAAAUCAGUGAAAAGUCUUGGAGCCUUUUCCUGCGCUAACCCACUGCCAUCGAGUCAGUGCAGACUCACAGCGACCCCAUAGGCUUUCCCAGGCUAUAAAUCUUGCGGUGGGGGGCAGGGGGAGAAGAUCGCCGUAUCUUUUUUCCGAGGAGCUGCUGGUGAUUUCAAGUCACCAACCUUUCUGUUAGCAGUUGAGUGGGUUAACCAUCUUGCGCUAAAGUUAGGCUAAAUAAAUAGGCACUUGUUCCGACUUACCUACAGAUGCGACCUAAGGACACAGGAACAGUUGUUGAUGGUAACCUGGGGACUGCCUGUAGUUCCUUAAGAGGGUAAUAGUUUUGCAGGUGCUUCUUUAAUCAGCAUGUGCUUUGAGCCCAGGACUAAUCAUGUAUAGAAGGGAAUCAAGGAAUAAUGAUUAUUUUUGUUAUUUCUGUUUUUUAAAUUUUGGUGGGGGGAGUGAAAGCUUUGUGUCAGGUGAUACUAGUGUUAUUCUGUGUAGAGUGCAGUAGGGAGAACUUGGUCAGAUUAGAUGGGAAUAAAACGGAAAUUGCUUUAAAUUUUGCCUCCUAGAAUUUUAAAAAAUAUUUUUAUAAAUUAUAGCGAUUUCUUAAGAUUUUGACAGAAUUACAAACUUCAUAAAAUAAAACUUUAACCCCAGAUUCCCUUUGAUAUGAUACCCAAAAAGACAUUUUAAAAUGUUAGUAAGUUUGCAUUAUCUGCAUAUGUUUAUUUUUCUACAUUUUAAUAUCUUUGAAACUGAAAUGACUUUAAAUCACCAUUAGUGUCCUAGAAUUAUAGGUGGCAGCAUUUUAAUUUCUUAGUGGUUCAUAAAAUAAUGGCGAAUCUUACAAUUGAUGCUAAGUAUGAUUUAAUAAAUACAGUAUUAUUAGCUCUUUGAAGGUUUAGGAGGCGCAGGUAAUUAAAUGUGCUGGAUAGCUAGUAUGGACUGCUUAAAAGAGUUGUUCGUUCACUCUUGAAGGAGUGACUUAUUGAGUAUUCAGUGUAAGUAGAUUGAUGGCAUGUUUCACUUAAAAGAUUUUAAGAAAUAUUUUAAUACAUUGCUUUUAUAUUUAGAAAGUAUCCUUUCUUAGUUGUUCAGGUCAGUAUGAGGAUUUGUGGAAGAAACUUGUACCCUUGAUUUCUGCCUAUUUGAAGAUUUCACUUUUUGAAAAUUUGUAAACAAUACAAAAAAAUUAUUGAACCGCAUUAGUGGAAUGCAGUUUUCUAAAUGUGGUAAUUUUGAAAUUAUUGGAUUUGUUAUUGAGAUGAGGCAUAGAGAGUUUAAAAAUGUGACCAGAUAUUUAAAUAUGUUUUUAUUAUAAAAGAAUAUUUUAUUUAAAAUAAUUUGAAUGAUGCCACCCCCCCCCAAAAAAAAACCCUGUUGCUGUCUAGUCAAUUCCGUCUUCUAGCAACCCUAUAGGACAGAGUAGAACUGCCCCAUAGAAUUUCCAAGGAACACCUGGUGGAUUCGAACUGCCGAUCUUUCAGUUAGUAGCCGUAGCACUUAGCUAUUGCAGCACCAGGGUUUCCUUGAAUGAUGGCAGAUUUCAUCAAAGACGGGACCGGCUCUCCAUUUCUAUUCCCCAGGGUAAUUUAGCAUAUUAAUUUUGAACAUGCUCAGUAUCUUUAUGUAGUCAGUAAAAUACAAAAUGGAGGUUGGCAUUUAAUAAAUAGCUUUGGGUGGGGGGAGAAGAAAGGUCACCAGAAAAAAGUAAGAUAUACUUGAAUGACCCUUUGUGUUCUAAAAACUUAAAUUUAGGUUUUUCAGGCAUAAUAUACUUGAAAAAGAGUUACCACCCACAUAGCCCCUUAAACUUUGAUCAACUUUUGCUUUUUGGUAUUCGGUUUGAAUGUUUUUAUUUCUGAAUUACAAAGUUUCAGUUAACUUUUAAUUCUCAAUUUAUAAUUUCACUGAGUGUAAACAGUUAUUGUGUGUAUUCUUAAAAGGUAAAGUGACAUGUUAUUAAAAAGAGAAUAGCUUUGUAGAUGUGAUUGGCUGGAAUGUAUAGCCUUCAGACUAGAAACUUUCAAAUUCAUAGAAAUACAUAUUUAUAAAUUCAGAUUCAAUUUUUAAUGUAGGAAAAUCAAGCUUUAUCGUCUGGUGCAGGAACAGUCCUAUAUUUUGAAGACCUAGAAUAUUUAUGUUGGAAAAAGAUAAAAUUCACUUAACUGUAAUCAGUGGAUAAAGCUCUAAUAAAGGAAAAUAGCAAUAAAAUUAACUUCAUUUGCAGUGGUACAUGAUACAUUAUCUGUGUAUUACAACAUAGAGGACCUUUGACAUUCUGGAGGGUUACCCAAAUUCUCAGGAUACCUUGAUGGAACUUUAGGCAUUGAGCCGUUUGCUAGACUGUAUAUUCUCAUUUAGGAAUACACACUCAGCCUUGAAUUAAUCUACUAGUCUCAAAACAUUUUAAUUUAUAAGAGAUAAACUUUUAAGUUGUAAUUUGAAAGUCCAAAAGAGGAUUUUUGUCCUCCCUCCAAGGCUCAAAUACCUACUAAAGCUAGAACAUUAAAGAUUUAAUCACAGAAGAGUAAUUUUGCUUUUUAAAAGCAUCAAAGUAGUUUGAUUUUUUUUGGCUUGCAUGGAUUCUGGUUCACUUAAGUCAAAAAUGAACAAAAAGAAAAAAUUAUUGGAAGGAUACUGAGGUGUAGCGCUUAGAAUCAAGGGUUGAACUAUACCGACAAGCCAAGGAUAUGGGGAUGGGGCACCUCAUGGGCCUUAGCAGUAGCUAGACUAUUUCUUUAGGUUGUUGACAGAGGGGUGAUUUGGCUCCAAUGAAUUCUAGUAUUGGGUUCUUUCCAUAUUUCACAUUUAUGGGAGGAAUAUCUGGCUUACCCCAGGAUUAAUUUACUUUUGCAGGGGCAGGGAGUGAGCAGGGAAACAGAGCUAGCAACUGCAGACCCAUGCUUGUGAAUUAGGUCUCUUUCUGGGAAAGGGGAACCAUGAGCUGGGGCACCACCUCAUUGGUGUACUCUAACCAGAAUAUAUAUGUCUAUACAAUACUCCCAAUUCAUCAUACAGGUCACGUGUAUUAAAAUUGUUGUUUGGAAACCAUUGUGAAAGUUAAAACUGAUUGAUGUCAGCAGGAAAUCACCUUGACCUUCAAGAAUCUAAAUAAAUUACUUCUAAUCCCUCGUGCUGUAAUUGUGGGAAAUUAAAUGCUGUUACCAAGGUCUCUACAAAUUGCUGAAAAGCUUACAUUCCUUGAAACUACUACUUCUGCAAAAUUAGUAUCAAAGUGUUUUUAUGACGAAGACAGUUCCCUUCCAAAGAGAAAUUCUGGUACUUGAUUUUUGGCUUCAUGGAAUCUGAUUUUAUAAAGGAAAAAAAGCCACAGAACUACUGACUAUGGUAUGGGCAGAGUAUAAUAGUUGCUUUAAGGGAGUUACAAACACAGAGUUUUGAGAGCAGAGUGAGUUGAUUUCUGGCAAGUUGAUUAGGUAAGGGUAAAUGGUAAUGAGUUGGAAGAUGGCAGCUGGUAUACUGGCCAUGGGACAAGAGACAUUUCAGCUCAGUCCAGGCAGAAGGAGCAGUGAGCAGAGAAAUAGGAAAAAGUUCAGGGCUGUGGAGCUAGAUUUGGGAUAUAUCAGAGUGCGCCUUGGUAGUGGUAUUACGCAGACUAAAAAAAAAUUUAAAAAACCCAUUGCUGUCCAGACAGUUCCGACUCAUAGCAACCCUAAAAGACAGAGUAGAACUGCCCCAUAGAGUUUCCAGCGAGUGCCUGGUGGAUUUGAACUGCCGACCUUUUGGUUAGCAGCCGUAGCACUUAACCACUAUGCCACCAGGGUUUCCGAUUACGGUUUAUUAAUUAGGUAAUGGGGAGACAUAGAUUUUUAAAUUUAGAAGGACCUUAGAAGUUAUCGAAGGUUUUUGUUUUUUUUUAAAUAAUUUUUAUUGUGCUUUAAGUGAAAGUUUACAAAUCAAGUCAGUCUCUCACACAAAAACCCAUGUACACCUUGCCACACACUCCCAGUUACUCUCCCCCUAAUGAGGCGGCCCACUCUCUCCCUCCACUGUCUUUUUGGGUCCGUUUUGCCAGCUUCUAACCCCUUUAACCCCAUCUACACUGUCAUCGCCCCUCCAGGCAGCAGAUGCCAACAUAGUCUCAAGUGUCCACCUGAUCGAAGAAGCUCACUCCUCACCAGCAUCCCUCUCCAACCCAUUGCCCAGUGCAAUCCCUGUCUGAAGAGUUGGCUUUGGUAAUGGUUCCUGUCCUGGGCCAACAGAAGGUCUGGGGACCAUGACCACCGGCGUCCUUCUAGUCCCAGUCAGACCAUUAAGUCUGGCCUUAUGAGAAUUGGGGGUGUGCAUCCCACUGCUCUCUUGCUCCCUCAGGGGUUCUCUGUUGUGUUCCCUGUCAGGGCAGCCAUCGGUUGUAGCUGGGCACCAUCUAGUUCUUCUGGUCUCAGGAUGAUGUAGUCGCUGGUUCAUGUGGCUCUUUCUGUCUCUUGGGCUCGUAAUUACCUUGCGUCCUUGGUGCUCUUCAUUCUCCUUUGAUCCAGAUAGGUUGAGACCAAUUGAUGCAUCUUAGAUGGCUGCUUGCUAGCGUUUAAGACCCCAGAUGCCACUCUUCAAAGUAGGAUGCAGAAUAUUUUCUUAAUAGAUUUUAUUAUGCCAAUUGACUGAGAUGUCCCCUGAAACCAUGGUCCCCAAACCCCUGCCCCUGCUACGCUGGCCUUCGAAGCAUUCAGUUUAUUCAGGAAACUUCUUUGCUUUUGGUUUAGUCCAGUUGUGCUGACCUUGCCUGUAUUAUGUGUUGUCUUACCCUUCAUCUAAAGUAGCUCUUAUCUACUAUCUAGUCAGUGAAUAUCCCUCUCCCAUCCUCCCUCCCUCCCCCGUCUUGUAACCACGGAAGAAUGUUUUCUUCUCAGUUUAAACUGUUUCUCAAGUUCUUAUAAUAGUGGUCUUAUUACAAUAUUUGUCCUUUUGCAACUGACUAAUUUCACUCAGCAUAAUGCCUUCCAGGUUCCUCCAUCUUAUAAAAUGUUUCACAGGUUCCUCACUGUUCUUUAUCAAUGCGUAGUAUUGCAUUGUGUGAAUAUACCAUAAUUUAUUUAUCCAUUCAUCCGUUGGUGGGCACCAUGGUUGCUUCCAUCUUUUUGCUGUUGUAAAUAGUGCUGCAGUAAACAUGGGUGUGCAUAUAUAUGUUCGUGUAAAGGCUCUUAUUUCUCUAGGAUAUAUUCCAAGGAGUGGGAUUGCUGGAUCGUAUGGUAGUUCUAUUUCUAGCUUUUUAAGGAAGCGCCUGUUGAAGGUUUUUGAGCAGGGGAGUAAUAAGUUAGGACUUUGCCCUGGGGAAGUUGUGUAAUUCAGGGGAGUUAGGGAAAUCACCAAAGGAGCCCUGGUGGUGCAGUGAUAAAGCGUUUGGCUGCUAACCAUAAGGUUAGCAGUUCGAACCCACCAGCUGCUCUGCAGGAGAAAGAUGUGUAAAUCUACUUUCAUAAAGAUUUACAGCCUUGGAAAGUUUAUGGAGCAGUUCUAUUCUGUCCUAUAAGGUCACUGUGAGUUGGAAUUGAUCAGAGGACAGUGAGUUUGGUUGUGGUGGGUUAACUUGUUGCUGUCGAGUAGAUUCGCAUGCAUAUUGACCCUGUUGGCAGAGUAGAACUGCCCUGUAAGGUUUCUAAGAAUCUGCUGGUGAAUUUGAACUGCUGACCUUUUGGUUAGCAGGUGAGCUCUUAACCACUGCACCAUCAUGCAUGUCAUUGAAAUAUAUUGAGCUAUAUUAGGUCUUCUCUCAAUUUCAUGUUUUGAAAAAUCUCUUCCGGAUCCACCUUAUCUACUGUAUUCUCAACUGGUUGAUCUCCAGACCUGCCUUAAUUAUCUUGGGGGUCUCCGUUCACCAUAUUCCGGAGUUCACUUUCUUAUUGGGUCUUCAGAUUCCUAGAUACCAUGUUGUGUUCUUUCUUGGUUUACUUCAUUGUUUUGGUGGAGUUCAGCCUCCAAUAGCUUCCUAAGAGAAGACAUAAUUGUAAAUACAUUUUUUAAAUAUUUUCAGUGUCUGAACAUGUGUUUAUUCUACCCACUUAACGGGUAGUUUGGGUAUGGAAUGCUGGGCUGAAAAUAAUUGUCUCUUUGAAUCUUGAAGGCAGUUCUGCAUUGCUUUCUUCGUACAGUGUUAUUGAGAAAUCUGAAGCCCUCUUUAUAUGUAACCUGUUUUAGAUCCCUGAAAUUUUGUGCAGUCUUCCCUUUGAUCCCCAAAUUAUGAUGUGCCUUGCUUUAGGUCUGUAUUUUAACCCUGUGUUGACCACUCUCAACAACUCUUGUUGACUUAAUUUGAAAACUGUUGUUGUUGAGUCAGUUCCAACUCAUGGCGAUCCCGUGUGUUACGGAGCAGAAUUGCUUCCUGAGAUUUUCUUGGCUGUUACCUUAAUGGAAACAGAUCGCCAGGCCUUUCGCGACACUUAGACCAAACCCACUGCCCUUGAGUCAGUUCCGACUCAUAGAGACCCUGUAAUCAUAAUACACCACCUAGGGAUCUUCCAAUUGAAAACUAAUGUCCUUUAAUUUGGGGAAAGUUUUUUGAUUUAUUUUAAUUAUUGAUGUCUGUGGUGUUGUUUUUUUUAACUUGGGUUAUUUAGAUUUUAGACUUUUUGUACAGCUUUUCUGUUUUUAAGAUUGCUUUCCUUAUUGUCUUCUGCCUUUUUACUGUACUUAACAUUUUCUUAAGUUUAUAUUUAAAUUGCAAACUUUUAAUUUCUGCUACUGUAUUUUGAAUUUCUGAGGUUUAUUGUUAUUUUUUAAUUUCCUAUAUUGUGUCAUCUUGUUUAUAGGUGAAAUACCUACAUCUCUUUGAUGAUAUCAGUGUUAGUUUCUUUUGAGGUUUUCUCUCCUGGCAUAAUCUGGUUUCCUUCAAGUUGCCUUCAUUUUAUUGAUUUGUUUUGGUUCUCUGUUAUAUUAGAUGUUCUCCAGAAUUACCUGGUGCUCCUUGACUGCAAGCUCAUUUUUAAGAGAGGCACACCCAAAGAACUGAUUAGAAGGUCUGUGGCUAGCCUUUGCUAGUUGGAUAUCUGCCUGGCUCUUUAUCUUCUGGGACCUGGGGAUCUCAGCAUUUAAUUUUGGUCAUAUUCCAUUGCCAUCAAGUUGAUUUUCACUCAUAGUGACCUUACAGGACAGAGUAGAACUGUCCUAUAGGGUUUCCAAGGCUGUAAUCUUUACAGAAGCAGACUGCCUCAUCUUUCUCCCAGGGAGAGGCUGGUAGGUUUGAACCACCAACCUUUUGGUUAGCAGCUGAAUGCUUAACCACUGUGCCACCAGGCCUCCUUUUGGUCACUUAAUCCCUUCCUAUUUUUAGCACAUUCCCCCAUUUUCAAUGCUUUUAUCUUCUUUAGAGAAUAAAACUCCAGAGGGGUAGGGAAUGGAAGAAAGGAGCAGUCUUCCUGCUGUGUUGUUGGUGGAAGAGAUUUGGGAUUUUGACUGCUCAAGCCUAACCAAACCUUUUAUUUUUAGCCCCACCUUCACGUCUACUUUAGGAACCCUGGUGGCAAAAUGGUUAAAAUGCACCGCUGCUAACCAAAAGGUCAGCUCUUUGAACCCACCAGCUGUCUCACCAGCUGCCCUGAGGGAGAAAAAGAUGUGUCACUCUGCUUCCUUAAAGAUUACAGCCUUGGAAACCCUAUGGGGCAGUUCUACUCUGUCCUGUAGGGUCGCUAUGAAUCGGAAUUGAUUGUUUUCACUUCUACCGAGUUUCCCAACUCAUGUACCUUUGAGAUUUUGUAAUGAAAAUCCGCUUGUUUGUCUGCUCUUUCCACUACUGAAGGAUUGAACGUUGGUCCCCUUCUGUUUCCAGAAUGUUGCAGUUUUGUUCCCCAAGUUGUCUUUGUUCUUAUGGUUUAUGCUUUUAUGAAAAGAUCCCCUUUGAAUUGUUUUAAUGAAAUUUCUAGAAGGAAUGGAUAUUUCUCUUACUCUCCUCCCCCAAUAUUGAAUUUUCUGUCUUUAGACAGAAUCCCAUCACUUCCAGUUAUUGCCUCCUGGGUAGCAGACCCUUCAAAAUCUUUAUGUUAUUUGCUCGAUCAAAACCAAGCUUUUCUCUUUUAAAAAUGUGGAAUUUAGAAAAUUCAUCUUUGUACUUAUUGAGAAUAAAUUCUAUAAUAAAGACUAGGUGGUUUUACUUAAAAUGUACAGUGAAUUGUCUGAUUAAUUUUUACUAUUAAUAGCACUGUAAUUAUUAGUACACUGGGCAGAUGUCAGAUAGUAAAUUUAAAUGAUAAUUGAGUAUUAAUGGGCCACUUUAAACAUUCAUUUAUAAUAAAAAAUGAUGAGGCUUGGGCAGCUUAAAGGAUUGAGUUGUUACAUUUCUUCUUUGGUUUAAUUUUAGAAAAAUUUUGAUAAUAACUAUGUUUUUCCAUCAGGUUUUCAAUUAUUGCUGAUACUGUUUAAUACAAAAACAGUAUCAAACAAUGCUGGUGUGCCUGAACCAUUUUACUGUCUCUUCAAAUUGGGUUUGAUCAUUUUACAUUGAAGAAAAAACUUAUGUUGUUUUACCCAGUCUUUAUUUCAAGACAUGUGUAUGUGUUUUGGUUUUAUCUACCACCCUUAACAGAUUUUAAAACAUACUUUGCACUUCUUAAAUAUGUCACUUCCUCAAAGAUGUUGCCCUCGUUAGAUUUAAUAAUUACCCUUAUUAGAUAUUAGUGUAGAUAUUAGCAUCAUCUAUUUAUAAGGCUAGGAAAAAAAUCAGGGAAAUAAUUUCAGGCCUGAAGGACGUCAGAGAAUGUUACCAGCCCAUUGCAGAAUAUGUAGAGAAACAAGAGUGUAGUGUGCAUAAUUGUUCUAAAGAUUGUACAGCACAAAAUUAUAUCGUCACCAGAAGCUUCAAAUAAUCAGACUUCAUUCUGUAUGCCUUUUUAAAUUCAGGGUACUGUCUAUGCCUUCUUUAUAAACUUGUUCAGAAAAAGAAUUUCUGCCAUUCAGCUUUUUGUGAUUGACUUAAACCACCAACCCCAACUUCUCAUUCUACCCCCAGUCUCUUUCUAAAAUUCAUAGAGGAUAUGUUUUUUAAAGGCCAUUCUGGUAGCAGUAUGGUAAAAAAAAUAUAUAUAUAUAUAUAUUACUUAAAAAAUAAACCAAGUGUUUGAAAAUAAAAGUUCUAUUAAACAAUGUGCCAUCUUUUAAAUGUGUGCUAAAUGGUGUCUUUAUUGAAUCAGUAAUCUUUUUGUGCAGUAUUUUCCAGAUUAAAAACUCACCAACCAUUAUCACUGUGUCAAAAUGGCAUGGAGGUGGCAUCCUACCUCCUGUAACUUCAGGGGUGAGAAGGCUGAUUUUAACGAGGCGCCCGUCAAACUUGGCCUCCACCCUCUACACCAGCCGUCCUUCUCGUGGCACUCUUUACUUCUCUGCUGGGUUCAGUAAUUCGUUUUGGUGGCCACACAGAAAUCAAAGACAAUAUUCAUUAUUAUGGGGCUUAUUAGGGAAGUAACAGGCUACAAUUUAGGUUCAGGAACACACAGGAAAAACUUUUCGAUUAGGACAGCCUUUUCCCAGCGGUGCUUGCAGGCAGACCUUUCCCUGGCCCUUGGCCUCUGCCCUGCUCAAGCAAGUGUUACAAAGCUGUACUCCGCUAGCAAACCUCCUGUCCAAAGGCACUUGUCUUUCUCAGUCCUCACUGUCCCCUGCUGAUCUCUCCCACCGCUAUUUCUCUGCCAUCUCCUCUCUCCCUCCUUCCCCCCCCCCCCCCCCGCCACCCCUGACUGCCUUCCUUGUUUUCUCUCUCCUCCUCCUGAUGCCUGGAGCUUCUCAACACAGGGAUCCCUGUCCAAAGGAUGUGCUCUGGAAUCCUCUCCUUGCUCAUUCCAGGUCCAGCAGGAUGGCAAAACUGACCAGUUCCCUUGAUGGGCCACAAUUACCCUAUUUGCAUAGUCUCACCCAGUCACUUGCAUGGGAGUUACAAGACCAUGGUGAGAAAGGCCACACAAAAGCCAUCCAUCUCACCUUACAUAGAAUGUGGAGACUGCUAUAAACUAAUUGGGCAUAUUUUCCUCCAAGUUGUCAUCUUCAAUAAUCCCACCUCUUAUUUGAUGACACUGAGUAGUUAUUUUUGAACAACUUUUUUGGGGGAGGGAGAAUGGGGCUACAGAGAUUUUUUUUUUUUUAAUUUUAAAUUUUUAUUGUGCUUUAAGUGAAAGUUUUUACAAAUCAAGUCAGUCUCUCAACACAAAAAUUCAUAUACACCUUGCUAUAUACUCCUAAUUGCUCCCCCCCAAUGAGACAGCUCACUCCUUCCCUCCACUCUCUCUUUACGUGUCCAUUCUGCCAGCUUCUGACCCCCUCUGACCUCUCAUCUCCCCUCCAGAUAGGAGAUGCCAGCAUAGUCUCAAGUGUCCGCCUUAUCUAAGAAGUUCACUCCUCACCAGCAUCCCUCCAACCCAUUGUCCAGUCCAAUCCAUGUCUGAAGAGUUGGCUUCGGGAAUGGUUCCUGUCCUGGGCCAACAGAGGGUCUGGGGGCCAUGACCACCGGGGUCCUUCUAGUCUCAGUCAGACCAUUAAGUUUGGUCUUUUUAUGAGAAUUUGGGGUCUGCAUCCCACUGCUCUCCUGCUCCCUCAGGGGUUCUCUGUUGUCUUCCCUGUCAGGGCAGUCGUCGGUUGUAGCUGGACACCAUCUAGUUCUUCUGGUCUCAGGAUAAUGUAGUCUCUGGCUUAUGUGGCUCUUUCUGUCUCUUGGGCUCGUAAUUACCUUGUGUCCUUGGUGUUCUUCAUUCUCCUUUGAUCCAGGUGGGUUGAGACCAGAGAUUGUCUUUUUAUUAAUAGCAAACUGAAGUUUUGUUCCAAAAUGUUUCCAGUUUGUCUUUUUUAUUGCAUCAUAUGUAGAUAUAGAUGCAGAUUUCCUGGAAGGGUUAUUGGUUUCAGUGUUGACAUGUUCAUUUUCCAUGUGUUCAGAGAGUCUUUGGACUAGAGUACAAACGAUUCUGCUUUGGUCUGAAUAAUUGUUACUUUUUCUUCCUUCUGAGUGUCUGUAGAUAUGGAAAAAAUACUUUCUAAGUAUGUCCUUAUUUGAUCAAUAAUCUAAAAUUAGCAUAUAACUUUGGGGUACAUGUUGAGACACAGGUAAAAAAUAGUCUGUAUGUAAAAUAACACAAAAUAGACAAAUAGUGGAAUAUUAAAAACCAGUAUUAUAAGUACUGUUCAAGACACUUGGGGCCUCACCUUCAAACUCCAGAAUUUCUAGGGUGCAACUUGUGCUCUAAACUGUAUAGUUAGUAAUCUCUCACCACCUUUGGCUAUGCCAGACUCAUUUUUGUAUUUCAGUAACAGAAAUUACAAAGCCCUAACCAUUUAUGCAUAGACAUUUCAGUCUUAAAAAACUGAACAAUAGUGUUUACUUUGCUGUAAAACCAAAUGAGUUGGUCUCUCGGUUGGUUCAGAAAGGAGUUUUUUUUCACUCCUCCUUUCUCACUACAGAGAAGAUUACACCCAAGGAAACAGUUCUAGGUCAGAUUUCCACAUCGCAUUUUCCUGAACACCUGUAAGUGAUUUAUGAGACAGUUUUUAAAUGCAGUAUCUUCCAUUUUUUGCAGUGAUGCAGUCAGAAAAAAAACAGAUGUUAUUAUAUACGCACAUACCAUGGAACACAGUGGUGGCAUAGUGGUUAAGAGGUGCUUGUUGGAUAAAACCUAUGAUAACGUACCUUCUAAGUGACCUGUUGUUAGUUGCCGGAAGCCACAAUGAGAUCAGACUGUUGCGAUCCAUGGGGUUUUU
Long non-coding RNA from Loxodonta africana (African savanna elephant), 27357 nucleotides. RefSeq lists it as uncharacterized. The transcript has 3 exons. The record is from RefSeq and is a predicted model, not a curated record. Lineage: Eukaryota; Metazoa; Chordata; Mammalia; Proboscidea; Elephantidae.